GGAUAUCAUAACCCGACAUGCAA
This 23-nucleotide non-coding RNA is filed under the name Arabidopsis thaliana (thale cress). The record is from RNAcentral. Lineage: Eukaryota; Viridiplantae; Streptophyta; Magnoliopsida; Brassicales; Brassicaceae.